This 253-nucleotide ribosomal RNA is filed under the name uncultured bacterium. RNAcentral's name for it is "partial 16S ribosomal RNA". It matches the Rfam family "Bacterial small subunit ribosomal RNA", at positions 524 to 776 of the family's 1533-position model. The record is from RNAcentral.
UACGAAGGGGGCUAGCGUUGUUCGGAAUUACUGGGCGUAAAGCGCACGUAGGCGGAUUGUUAAGUUAGGGGUGAAAUCCCGGGGCUCAACCCCGGAGCCGCCUUUGAUACUGAGGAUCUUGAGUUCGGGAGAGGUGAGUGGAAUUCCGAGUGUAGAGGUGAAAUUCGUAGAUAUUCGGAGGAACACCAGUGGCGAAGGCGGCUCACUGGUCCGGUACUGACGCUGAGGCGCGAAAGCGUGGGGAGCAAACAGG